Long non-coding RNA from Bufo gargarizans (Asiatic toad), 705 nucleotides. RefSeq lists it as uncharacterized. The transcript is spliced from 3 exons. Lineage: Eukaryota; Metazoa; Chordata; Amphibia; Anura; Bufonidae. The record is from RefSeq and is a predicted model, not a curated record.
CUCCCCUCUUUUGGUGCGCUCUGAAGGGGCCCCCCUGUGCGAGGAAUCUGUAGUAUUGAACGGGGGUUGCUGCAAGCAGGGGGCAGGAUGUAGCACGUCCUUGACGAUCUGCAGGCAGAUGGAUGCUGGCUCUGUUUCUUUCUUCAUGUGUGCCAUAUACAGCUUGUCUACCAACGUUUCUGGUGGUGCGGCUGAAUGCCUGCGACAGCAGGUUCAGGGUCAGAAGUGACUGCAGCGGACAGACAGAGGACCCUGCAUCUGGAGCGGCAUCUGAUGGGGUCACAGCACCCAGGCAGCCAGGUAUACAGAGAACUCACAUCCAAGGUGGCCAUGAGCUAUCCCGGUUCAUAUUUUAAAUUCUCGAAGAUCUUGACUGCCAUCGUGGUGUCUUUUAAAUAGGAAGGGAUUUUCUAAACAAACGGCUGUAGGAAUCUGUCCAGACAAAUUACAGGUGGGAAUAUAUUCUUCUUCUAAGGCAACAGAUGUUUCAGUGAGUGUACCCCAGCGUCACGAGAAACUGUGAAAACCAGGUCUUUAAUUAGAAGGGACAGACAAUGUCAGCUUCCUCAGAGAAGCAGAUGCCACAUCUAUGUGUCUACAGUGGCCUCCAGGGUAUUUUUCUUUACCAGUUACAAGUUUACGAGGUUCAGACACUAACCGUGUUUAUUUCAUAUGGCAGAAAAUAUGAUGGGUAAAAAUAAACUU